Molecule: long non-coding RNA, 599 nt
Filed under: Chrysemys picta bellii (western painted turtle)
Lineage: Eukaryota; Metazoa; Chordata; Testudines; Emydidae
Description: lncRNA (ENSCPBG00000013111.1)
Source: RNAcentral
GCAUACACACCGCAGGAAAAGAGGGAAAAACAAACCUUUGGAAGGAAAAGUCAGAGCAGACAGGUUAAGCCGCUUUGAAAAAGGAUCUCUGGACUCGUCUACGGGAGGGAUCUUUGCACAAUGAUGUAGCCAUGACAUCAGUGUAUCUGCUGCAGUGUAGAUAUGCUGGUAUGAAGUGGGGCGUAUUCCAGUUUGAAGUUGCACCCGUGAACACCCUGCUUUACACCCAUGGAGCACAUCCCCACUGAGUAUUUGCAGAAGUGUAGCUACGUAGCUGCAAAGAUCCCUAACACAGACAAGCUGUCAGUAACUAUGGGGAAGGAAAGGCCCCUACUUCGGAUCAACUCAUUAUCCCGAAUAAACGAUGUGUCAUUCCCAUUAUUUAUGUUUCACUGCAGCCAAAGUAUCUGGACCUCGUUUUGUCAGAUGGCUUGCUAGCUGUAUAUGGAGGCUGUGACCUGCCAAGGGAAAAUUUCUCAGCAGGAGACUCAACAGCUGUAACAACACCUGGAGGAUACUUGGCAGCUGCAAGUCGCAGAUGCUGAGUUCGGUAAUGUACUUUCCUGUACAAGCAUCUGAGUGUUUUGUUGGCUGCUUGA